This 339-nucleotide ribosomal RNA is filed under the name uncultured soil bacterium. RNAcentral's name for it is "bacterial SSU rRNA". It matches the Rfam family "Bacterial small subunit ribosomal RNA", at positions 26 to 375 of the family's 1533-position model. The record is from RNAcentral.
AGAACGAACGCUGGCGGCAUGCCUAAUACAUGCAAGUCGAACGAACACUUCGGUGUUAGUGGCGCACGGGUGCGUAACGCGUGGGAAUCUGCCCUUGGGUUCGGAAUAACAGUUGGAAACGACUGCUAAUACCGGAUGAUAUCGAAAGAUACAAAGUAUUUAUCGCCGAGGGAUGACGCCCGCGUAGGAUUAGCUUAGGUUGGUAGAAGGUAAAGGCUACAACCGAAGGACGACGUAUCCUUAGCUGGUCUGAGAGGAUGAUCAGCCAACACGUGGGACUGAAGACGACCGGCCAGACUCCGUACGGGAGCAGCUAGGUAAGGAAUAGUUGGAACAAGU